GGCUAUUAUAACUCCAGCUGAAAUGCCAAGGCUGAAGACGUCUCAUUAACAGAUUGAGAUUUCGAUUGCGUCAUUCUUUGAGACUCGCUGCCUUGUGGAGAUGCAGCACUUCUGAGACUGAGGGCGUAUUGCGAAAGAAAAAAUUCCCACAAAAUGGAGUGCAGGUUAAGGUGAAGCCACAUCAUGUGUAUAUAAUACUUGGGACACCACGUAGCUGCACUACAUCCUCCCGAGACACCAGAAGGAAGAUUUCAACAUGGCAAGUGGACGCACUUUCCUCCUCGUGGCGGUGGCCCUGCUGGUCGUGUUCCAAGCGUGCAUGACCUUUGCAUGGGAAGGAGACGGCUACAGGUCCUCCGAGCACGGCGACGGGUACGACUUCGACGACCACUACAGUCACGACGGCGACCGGAGCCACGAGACCUUCGGCUACAAAGACUGGUGAUUCGCGCGUCCAUUUGGGAGACUCCAAAUAGGCAGAUUAAGACAAUGCUGUCCAUUUGGGAGACUCCAAAUAGGCAGAUUAAGACAAUGCUGUCAGUUAGGAUAUAGAUAUAGUAAAGAUGCAUCUGAU
RNAcentral lists this long non-coding RNA (574 nucleotides) under Penaeus japonicus. RNAcentral describes it as "uncharacterized LOC122264735, transcript variant X1". Lineage: Eukaryota; Metazoa; Arthropoda; Malacostraca; Decapoda; Penaeidae. The record is from RNAcentral.